UUUCCUCCUUUCUGCAUCCGUAGGGAAUCUUCCCCAAUGGGCGACCGCCUGCUUUCUCCCCUCCUCUUUUUUUACUCAUGUCUUCGGAUCGUAAAACCCUGUUGUUAGAGAAGAAAGUGCGUGAGAGUAACUGUUCACGUUUCGACGGUAUCUAACCAGAAAGCCACGGCUAACUACGUGCCAGCAGCCGCGGUAAUACGUAGGUGGCAAGCGUUAUCCGGAUUUAUUGGGCGUAAAGGGAACGCAGGCGGUCUUUUAAGUCUGAUGUGAAAGCCUUCGGCUUAACCGGAGUAGUGCAUUGGAAG
This 305-nucleotide ribosomal RNA is filed under the name uncultured bacterium. RNAcentral describes it as "bacterial SSU rRNA". It matches the Rfam family "Bacterial small subunit ribosomal RNA", at positions 328 to 632 of the family's 1533-position model. The record is from RNAcentral.